UACGUAGGGGGCAAGCGUUGUUCGGAUUUAUUGGGCGUAAAGAGCGUGUAGGCGGUUAGGUAGGUCCGUUGUGAAAACUCGAGGCUCAACCUCGAGACGCCGAUGGAAACCAUCUGACUAGAGUCCGGAAGAGGAGAGUGGAAUUCCUGGUGUAGCGGUGAAAUGCGCAGAUAUCAGGAAGAACACCCGUGGCUAAGGCGGCUCUCUAGUACGUGACUGACGCUGAGACGCGAAAGCGUGGGGAGCAAACAGG
RNAcentral lists this ribosomal RNA (253 nucleotides) under uncultured bacterium. Its description in RNAcentral is "partial 16S ribosomal RNA". It matches the Rfam family "Bacterial small subunit ribosomal RNA", at positions 524 to 776 of the family's 1533-position model. The record is from RNAcentral.